GAUGAAGAACGGAGCGAAAUGCGAUAAGUAAUGUGAAUUGCAGAAUUCAGUGAAUCAUCGAAUCUUUGAACGCACAUUGCGCCCGUCAGUAUUCUGGCGGGCAUGCCUGUUCGAGCGUCAUUACGCCCCUCAAGUCCCCUGUGGACUUGGUGUUGGGGAUCGGCGAGGCUGGUUUUCCAGCACAGCCGUCCCUUAAAUUAAUUGGCGGUCUCGCCGUGGCCCUCCUCUGCGCAGUAGUAAAACACUCGCAACAGGAGCCCGGCGCGGUCCACUGCCGUAAAACCCCCCAACUUUUUAUAGUUGACCUCGAAUCAGGCAGGACUACCCGCUGAACUUAAGCAUAUCAAUAAGCGGAGGA
RNAcentral lists this unclassified non-coding RNA (358 nucleotides) under soil metagenome. RNAcentral's name for it is "partial contains 5.8S ribosomal RNA, internal transcribed spacer 2, and large subunit ribosomal RNA". The stretch from base 1 to 120 matches the Rfam family "5.8S ribosomal RNA", at positions 35 to 154 of the family's 154-position model. The record is from RNAcentral.